UACAGAGGGUGCAAGCGUUAAUCGGAAUUACUGGGCGUAAAGCGUGUGUAGGUGGUUGGAUAAGUUAGAUGUGAAAUCCCCGGGCUUAACCUGGGCAUUGCGUUUAAAACUGUUUAACUAGAGUACUGUAGAGGAUAGUGGAAUUUCCAGUGUAGCGGUGAAAUGCGUAGAUAUUGGAAGGAACACCAGUGGCGAAGGCGACUAUCUGGACAGAUACUGACACUGAGACACGAAAGCGUGGGGAGCAAACAGG
This 253-nucleotide ribosomal RNA is filed under the name uncultured bacterium. Its description in RNAcentral is "partial 16S ribosomal RNA". It matches the Rfam family "Bacterial small subunit ribosomal RNA", at positions 524 to 776 of the family's 1533-position model. The record is from RNAcentral.